RNAcentral lists this ribosomal RNA (434 nucleotides) under uncultured Oscillospiraceae bacterium. RNAcentral describes it as "bacterial SSU rRNA". It matches the Rfam family "Bacterial small subunit ribosomal RNA", at positions 341 to 792 of the family's 1533-position model. Lineage: Bacteria; Bacillati; Bacillota; Clostridia; Eubacteriales; Oscillospiraceae. The record is from RNAcentral.
ACGGGAGGCAGCAGUGGGGGAUAUUGCGCAAUGGGGGAAACCCUGACGCAGCAACGCCGCGUGAAGGAAGAAGGUCUUCGGAUUGUAAACUUUUGUCUUUUGGGACGAUAGUGACGGUACCAAAGGAGGGAGCCACGGCUAACUACGUGCCAGCAGCCGCGGUAAUACGUAGGUGGCGAGCGUUGUCCGGAAUUACUGGGUGUAAAGGGCGUGUAGGCGGGUAAUCAAGUCAGAUGUGAAAUACCGGGGCUCAACUCCGGGGCUGCAUUUGAAACUGAAUAUCUUGAGUGCAGGAGAGGAAAGCGGAAUUCCUAGUGUAGCGGUGAAAUGCGUAGAUAUUAGGAGGAACACCGGUGGCGAAGGCGGCUUUCUGGACUGUAACUGACGCUGAGGCGCGAAAGCGUGGGGAGCAAACAGGAUUAGAUACCCUGGUA